AACAAGCCUCCAUACCCCAA
Molecule: unclassified non-coding RNA, 20 nt
Filed under: Mus musculus (house mouse)
Lineage: Eukaryota; Metazoa; Chordata; Mammalia; Rodentia; Muridae
Description: oocyte_clustered_small_RNA8910
Source: RNAcentral